RNAcentral lists this ribosomal RNA (273 nucleotides) under uncultured bacterium. RNAcentral describes it as "partial 16S ribosomal RNA". It matches the Rfam family "Bacterial small subunit ribosomal RNA", at positions 524 to 796 of the family's 1533-position model. The record is from RNAcentral.
UACGUAGGGAGCAAGCGUUGUCCGGAUUCACUGGGUGUAAAGGGUGCGUAGGCGGGACAAUAAGUCAGUGGUGAAAUCUUACGGCUCAACCGUGAAACUGCCAUUGAUACUGUUGUUCUUGAGUUCGGGAGAGGUUGAUGGAAUUCCAGGUGUAGCGGUGAAAUGCGUAGAUAUCUGGAAGAACACCAGUGGCGAAGGCGGUCAACUGGCCCGAAACUGACGCUGAGGCACGAAAGCGUGGGGAGCGAACAGGAUUAGAAACCCCAGUAGUCC